UGAAUUCAUAUAGAAUAACAUUUCCUGGUGUCACAGGUUAAGGAAAGUACUUUUCCAUCCAUUAAAGUAAAUCUUAACAUGUCAUUAUGUAUGCGAUGGUCACAGUCAUGCUUUGACCUAUGCUAAUAAUCAUAUCCAUUUCUUUGUGUGUCAUGUAAAAGACUAUUUUAUUUACAAAACAGCACAGCGUUUGUUUUAUUGCUGAAGCUUUAGCCGAUUUGUCCAAAUAACAAACUUUUGACAUCUUUGAGACUCUUAAGAAAUUUCAUACAAACUUAUAUCAUUGUUUCCUGGUGUUUAACUUCAUAUAAAAGCAGUUCAGCCUUCUUAAGAAUGGUAAAAUUUUAAUAUCUAAAAGAAGAAGGAUGGGCCCUUCUGGACAUGGGUCCAAUACCUUGGUGGUGGUCCAAAAUAUGAAAACAUACCGAAAGCAUGUCAAUUUCACCAUGUAUAUAAAUUUGGGGAGUGGUGAUGAUCUACAUUUUGAGUCUGUUGCAGGCAGUGCCAUUAAAAGUAGCCAUUUUGUCAAGCAAUCUAACUUCUUAAUACCAGAAAUUGUGGUGCUGACAAACAGAAGCCUGGUGAACGUGUCUUACAAAGAAAACUGUCGUAUUAGAUAUCCAACAUAUUCUUCGAAACGUUGUCAAGCUGGGGUCUUUCCACAGACACAAACGCUUUACUCUCUGUGUUUUGUUCUCAUAGCUAGCUGCUUCCUUCUCAACCAAAAAAAUCUCAAGUUACCUGAAACUUAGUUCCUAUCUCUGUUUCUCUGUGCUUUCCACACGGGCAAAUGUUAUUUUCAACUACCCAUACUAUGACCAUAAUGUCAGCCAUGCCCGGGUAGAAGCCUUGCUGCCUCAGGCUGUUGGAAGACUCUUUAAACAAAACAGAUGAAUUGAAUGCUUAAGGGAGUAGCAGUUGGAAAAUAAUGGAAACUUAAAAAGUGGGCAUGAGGCCAGUUACCAGAAUUCACAAAUAUUUACUGAAUAUCUGCUGUGUGUCAGGCACCAUUCAAAGUGCUGAGGAUACAAAAAUGAAUAUACUCAGCAAAGUUCCGCUUCUCAAGGAGCAUACCUUCUGGUGAAUUCAGGCACACAGUAGGUGGAGGUGAUUAAACUCCAUAAUCAGCUAACUUACGAGAAGAAAAUUCUCAUAAAUAAUCUUCGUGGGCCUGAGUCAAGCAGUUAAAAGCACUUGAGAGUCGAGCUGAGGUGUCCCCGAAGAGGAAGAACAUUCUGCCUGUGGACAGGGGCUUCUGCUCAUGCCUGUGAGUUCCAGACCACUCUUCCUGACCACCUGCCCUACAGACUUCUGACUUUCUAGCCACCCCUACGCCCCCAUGGCGUAACUGGGUACGCCAUGCCUCGCAAUAAAUCUCCUA
Molecule: long non-coding RNA, 1381 nt
Organism: Panthera uncia (snow leopard)
Lineage: Eukaryota; Metazoa; Chordata; Mammalia; Carnivora; Felidae
Exons: 4
Source: RefSeq, a predicted model, not a curated record